CGUGUAGGCUGCCCCAAAAGUCAGGUGUGAAAGCCCUGGGCUCAACCCAGGAAGUGCACUUGAAACUGCGGGGCUCGAGUUCUGGAGAGGAUGGCGGAAUUCUCGGUGUAGAGGUGAAAUUCGUAGAUAUCGAGAGGAACACCGGUGGCGAAGGCGUCUAUCUGGACAGUGACUGACGCUGAGACGCGAAAGCGUGGGGAGCAAACA
This 207-nucleotide ribosomal RNA is filed under the name uncultured bacterium. Its description in RNAcentral is "partial 16S ribosomal RNA". It matches the Rfam family "Bacterial small subunit ribosomal RNA", at positions 568 to 774 of the family's 1533-position model. The record is from RNAcentral.